This is a long non-coding RNA of Chinchilla lanigera (long-tailed chinchilla), 397 nucleotides long. RefSeq lists it as uncharacterized. The record is from RefSeq and is a predicted model, not a curated record. Lineage: Eukaryota; Metazoa; Chordata; Mammalia; Rodentia; Chinchillidae. The transcript has 3 exons.
CAACUCUGUAGCUGACCAUUGCUACAAGCCUAUUGGUUGGAGCCACCCGCAUCCAAGAUUCUCCAUCUCAGGGGUGAGGCGAAUGGCCCAGGCAGAACUGAAGUGGACACGCCCUCUGCAGAGUCAUUCUGGUCUCUUGACAUUGCCUUUCCGAGUCUCAUCUCAUGUUAGCAUGUGAAAGAAUCUCUUCUUCUUUUGUAUAAGAAGUGUUUGUGUAAAUUAGUGUUUCUUGAAAUGUGGGUGGGGCCCCCCUAUAUAGGAAUCACCUGUGGAGCAUGAAAACGCCUCAUUCCCGUGACUUUCCUGAUUUUUCCAUGGUUGGAGAGCCCUAUGUCCAUGGAGGGCAGCUCUUUCUCAACCUUUAAAGAACAGAAGUAAUUGAUUGGCCUUACGAAUA